Molecule: microRNA precursor, 84 nt
Organism: Aotus nancymaae (Ma's night monkey)
Lineage: Eukaryota; Metazoa; Chordata; Mammalia; Primates; Aotidae
Source: Ensembl
GGUACUUGGAGAGAGGUGGUCCGUGGCGCGUUCGCUUUAUUUAUGGCGCACAUUACACGGUCGACCUCUUUGCAGUAUCUAAUC